This 500-nucleotide unclassified non-coding RNA is filed under the name Hevea brasiliensis (rubber tree). The record is from RNAcentral. Lineage: Eukaryota; Viridiplantae; Streptophyta; Magnoliopsida; Malpighiales; Euphorbiaceae.
GACGAUUUCGUCUCUCAUUUAAUGCUCUACCAAACUCACCAUCCUUUUAUCUUCCAAUUCCCCACUGCAACCACUUCCUCUUCUCAUCUUCAGACCCAAAUGGAAUGCGUUGAGGUUGCUUUGAAAGCCAGUAUCAGGAAGGAGAUGGCCCUCAAAUUUAGCCCACAAGUGUCUUUCGACGAUUUAUGGGUACCAAAUAUGCAAAACGGCGCGUCGUCUGAUGACUCUAUCGUGGACGAGCUUUUGGACUUCUCUAAUGAAGUUGGUUUCAUUGAGGAAGAAGCAGGAGAAGAAAAAGCUUAUACUGUGUCCGUUUCUCCUAAAGAAGUCCUUGAAGACGAUAAAAUUAGCGAGCAAAGCUCAAAUUUUUCUGCAAAAGAAUAUUUUGGGUCUGUUCCGGCUAAUAGCGAACUUGGUGUUCCGGAUGAUUUGGCAAGUCUUGAAUGGUUAUCGCAUUUUGUGGAGGAUUCCAACUCAGAAUACUCCGCACCUUUCCCGGC